CAGUCGCCACGGGAAUACGAAGGGUGCAAGCGUUAAUCGGAAUUACUGGGCGUAAAGCGCACGUAGGCGGCUUGGUAAGUUAGAGGUGAAAGCCUGGAGCUCAACUCCAGAAUUGCCUUUAAGACUGCCGAGCUAGCAGGUGAGAGAGGUAGGUGGAAUUCCGAGUGUAGAGGUGAAAUUCGUAGAUAUUCGGAAGAACACCAGUGGCGAAGGCGGCUUACUGGCUCAUACUGGACGCUGAGGUGCGAAAGCGUGGGGAGCAAACAGGAUUAGAUACCCCUGUAGUCCCUGUCUCUUAUAC
This 301-nucleotide ribosomal RNA is filed under the name uncultured bacterium. RNAcentral's name for it is "partial 16S ribosomal RNA". It matches the Rfam family "Bacterial small subunit ribosomal RNA", at positions 509 to 807 of the family's 1533-position model. The record is from RNAcentral.